RNAcentral lists this ribosomal RNA (494 nucleotides) under uncultured bacterium. RNAcentral's name for it is "partial 16S ribosomal RNA". It matches the Rfam family "Bacterial small subunit ribosomal RNA", at positions 28 to 507 of the family's 1533-position model. The record is from RNAcentral.
GACGAACGCUGGCGGCGUGCUUAACACAUGCAAGUCGAACGGAAAGGCCUGCUUUCCCUUGUGGAUUGCGGGUACUCGAGUGGCGAACGGGUGAGUAACACGUGAGUGAUCUGCCCCCAACUUGGGUAUAAGCCUGGGAAACUGGGUCUAAUUCCCGAUAGGACUGCAGGGUGGUGCCUGUGGUGGAAAACGAUUUUCUAGUGGUUGGGGAUGAGCUCGCGGCCUGUCAGCUUGUUGGUGGGGUAAUGGCCUACCAAGGCGGCGACGGGUAGCCGGCCUGAGAGGGUGGACGGCCACAUUGGGACUGAGAUACGGCCCAGACUCAUACGGGAGGCAGCAGUGGGGAAGAGUGCACAAUGGGCGGAAGCCUGAUGCAGCGACGCCGCGUGGGGGAUGACGGCCUUCGGGUUGUAAACUCCUUUCGACCGCGAGGAAGCCACCUGGUUGGAAGGGUGGUGACGGUAGUGGUAGAAGAAGCACCGGCUAACUACGUG